RNAcentral lists this ribosomal RNA (444 nucleotides) under uncultured bacterium. RNAcentral's name for it is "bacterial SSU rRNA". It matches the Rfam family "Bacterial small subunit ribosomal RNA", at positions 29 to 506 of the family's 1533-position model. The record is from RNAcentral.
AUGAACGCUGGCGGCGUGUCUUAGGCAUGCAAGUCGAGUGGGUUUAGGCCCACGGCAAACGGGUGCGUAACACAUUGGCAACCUACCCCGGAGUAGAGCAUAAUCCGCCGAAAGGCGAACUAAUUCUCUAUACCUUUGUUUCACAUAAGUGAGGCAAAGAAAGAUUUAUCGCUCCGGGAGGGACCUAUGGUCCAUCAGCUAGUUGGUGAGGUAAUGGCUCACCAAGGCUAUGACGGAUAGCGGGUAUUAGCGUACGACCCGCCUCACCGGGACUGAAACACUGCCCGGACUUCUACGGAAGGCUGCAGUCAAGAAUAUUCCACAAUGCCCGAAAGGGUGAUGGAGCGACGCCGCGUGUAGGAUGAAGGCCUUCGGGUCGUAAACUACUUUUCCCAGGGAAGAAUUUCUGACGGUACCUGGGGAAUAAGAGGCUGCUAACUCUGU